GGCGAGGUAGUUUAAUGAAAAUGUCAUUUUGCAAGAAUGAUGAUACCUAGAAAGUCUUCGCUU
This 63-nucleotide transfer RNA is filed under the name Ibla cumingi. RNAcentral's name for it is "tRNA-Cys". Lineage: Eukaryota; Metazoa; Arthropoda; Thecostraca; Iblomorpha; Iblidae. The record is from RNAcentral.